This 1386-nucleotide ribosomal RNA is filed under the name uncultured bacterium. RNAcentral's name for it is "bacterial SSU rRNA". It matches the Rfam family "Bacterial small subunit ribosomal RNA", at positions 18 to 1394 of the family's 1533-position model. The record is from RNAcentral.
CCUGGCUCAGGAUGAACGCUAGCUACAGGCUUAACACAUGCAAGUCGAGGGGCAGCAUGGUCUUAGCUUGCUAAGACCGAUGGCGACCGGCGCACGGGUGAGUAACGCGUAUCCAACCUGCCUUACACUCUUGGACAGCCUUCUGAAAGGGAGAUUAAUACAAGAUGUUAUCAUGAGUAAGCAUUUUCGCAUGAUUAAAGGUUUACCGGUGUAAGAUGGGGAUGCGUUCCAUUAGAUAGUAGGCGGGGUAACGGCCCACCUAGUCUUCGAUGGAUAGGGGUUCUGAGAGGAAGGUCCCCCACAUUGGAACUGAGACACGGUCCAAACUCCUACGGGAGGCAGCAGUGAGGAAUAUUGGUCAAUGGACGAGAGUCUGAACCAGCCAAGUAGCGUGAAAGGAUGAAGGGUUCUAUGGAUUGUAAACUUCUUUUAUACGGGAAUAAACGGAUCCACGUGUGGAUUUUUGCAUGUACCGUAUGAAAUAAGGAUCGGCUAACUCCGUGCCAGCAGCCGCGGUAAUACGGAGGAUCCGAGCGUUAUCCGGAUUUAUUGGGUUUAAAGGGAGCGUAGAUGGGUUGUUAAGUCAGUUGUGAAAGUUUGCGGCUCAACCGUAAAAUUGCAAUUGAUACUGGCAGUCUUGAGUACAGUUGAGGUAGGCGGAAUUCGUGGUGUAGCGGUGAAAUGCUUAGAUAUCACGAAGAACUCCGAUUGCGAAGGCAGCUUACUAACCUGUAACUGACAUUGAUGCUCGAAAGUGUGGGUAUCAAACAGGAUUAGAUACCCUGGUAGUCCACACGGUAAACGAUGAAUACUCGCUGUAGGCGAUAUACAGUCUGCGGCCAAGCGAAAGCAUUAAGUAUUCCACCUGGGGAGUACGCCGGCAACGGUGAAACUCAAAGGAAUUGACGGGGGCCCGCACAAGCGGAGGAACAUGUGGUUUAAUUCGAUGAUACGCGAGGAACCUUACCCGGGCUUAAAUUGCAACCGAAUAUGGCGGAAACGCUAUAGCUAGCAAUAGCGGUUGUGAAGGUGCUGCAUGGUUGUCGUCAGCUCGUGCCGUGAGGUGUCGGCUUAAGUGCCAUAACGAGCGCAACCCUUGCCGAUAGUUACUAACAGGUCAUGCUGAGGACUCUGUCGGGACUGCCAUCGUAAGAUGUGAGGAAGGUGGGGAUGACGUCAAAUCAGCACGGCCCUUACGUCCGGGGCUACACACGUGUUACAAUGGGGGGUACAGAGGGCUGCUACCACGCAAGUGGAUGCCAAUCCCAAAAACCUCUCUCAGUUCGGAUUGAAGUCUGCAACCCGACUUCAUGAAGCUGGAUUCGCUAGUAAUCGCGCAUCAGCCACGGCGCGGUGAAUACGUUCCCGGGCCUUGUACACACCGCC